GCUAUACAUGCAAGUCGAGCGGACAGAAGGGAGCUUGCUCCCGGAUGUUAGCGGCGGACGGGUGAGUAACACGUGGGUAACCUGCCUGUAAGACUGGGAUAACUCCGGGAAACCGGAGCUAAUACCGGAUAGUUCCUUGAACCGCAUGGUUCAAGGAUGAAAGACGGUUUCGGCUGUCACUUACAGAUGGACCCGCGGCGCAUUAGCUAGUUGGUGAGGUAACGGCUCACCAAGGCGACGAUGCGUAGCCGACCUGAGAGGGUGAUCGGCCACACUGGGACUGAGACACGGCCCAGACUCCUACGGGAGGCAGCAGUAGGGAAUCUUCCGCAAUGGACGAAAGUCUGACGGAGCAACGCCGCGUGAGUGAUGAAGGUUUUCGGAUCGUAAAGCUCUGUUGUUAGGGAAGAACAAGUGCAAGAGUAACUGCUUGCACCUUGACGGUACCUAACCAGAAAGCCACGGCUAACUACGUGCCAGCAGCCGCGGUAAUACGUAGGUGGCAAGCGUUGUCCGGAAUUAUUGGGCGUAAAGGGCUCGCAGGCGGUUUCUUAAGUCUGAUGUGAAAGCCCCCGGCUCAACCGGGGAGGGUCAUUGGAAACUGGGAAACUUGAGUGCAGAAGAGGAGAGUGGAAUUCCACGUGUAGCGGUGAAAUGCGUAGAGAUGUGGAGGAACACCAGUGGCGAAGGCGACUCUCUGGUCUGUAAC
This 709-nucleotide ribosomal RNA is filed under the name Bacillus aerophilus. RNAcentral's name for it is "bacterial SSU rRNA". It matches the Rfam family "Bacterial small subunit ribosomal RNA", at positions 48 to 740 of the family's 1533-position model. Lineage: Bacteria; Bacillati; Bacillota; Bacilli; Caryophanales; Bacillaceae. The record is from RNAcentral.